This 355-nucleotide ribosomal RNA is filed under the name uncultured bacterium. Its description in RNAcentral is "bacterial SSU rRNA". It matches the Rfam family "Bacterial small subunit ribosomal RNA", at positions 8 to 350 of the family's 1533-position model. The record is from RNAcentral.
AGAGUUUGAUCAUGGCUCAGGAUGAACGCUAGCUACAGGCUUAACACAUGCAAGUCGAGGGGGAAACGACAUCGAAAGCUUGCUUUUGAUGGGCGUCGACCGGCGCACGGGUGAGUAACGCGUAUCCAACCUGCCCAUCACUUGGGGAUAACCUUGCGAAAGUAAGACUAAUACCCAAUGAUAUCUCUAGAAGACAUCUGAAAGAGAUUAAAGAUUUAUCGGUGAUGGAUGGGGAUGCGUCUGAUUAGCUUGUUGGCGGGGUAACGGCCACCAAGGCUACGAUCGAGUAGGGGUUCUGAGAGGAACGGUCCCCCAUAUGGAACUGACGACACGGUCCAAACUCUUACGGGAGGCA